GUGGAGGCAGCUGGUUUUCUGUUCUACCUGAUAACUAAAUUUCACCCACCUGGCAUCCAAUGUCUAAACCAGUCCCUGAUUAGAGGGGAACAAUGAGGGAGAAAAAUACAGUGGAACUGGCUCCGAGGUCCAGAGUUGCGUUUUGAUGGGAGUAGGACACAUACUAAAAAUAAGGUUUAAGGUAUGAACGUCCCAAUGAUACCAGAUAGCACUAACCCUGUUGGUGCGGAGAAGAGCCUUGAUAGUGGUGGGCGGGAACAGGAUACAUCCUCCUCUCAUUGGUUUCCACAAGAUAAGACAGCCACAAAGUCCAAAUUGGCUGUAUCGUAACAUUUCAUGAAAACAAACGUGCGUUUGUGUUAAUAUACAGUUAGCAGUGUGGUUAAGGUUAGUUUUAAAAUCAGAUUUUAAAUUGUAGAUAUAGGCGGGGUUUAACUAGUGACAACCAUUCUCAUUGGCCAGACCGCGUGUGUGUAAUUUACACAGUAGGUGAUGCGCGGCUCAGUCAAAACAUUGUUACCUGUUGUUGAUGCUUGAAAGAUUCCACGCUUGUACUCAUGGCGAAAAGGCGAGCUGAAGAAGUUUUGUUCCACGACACGCCUGUUAAAAGAUCAUGUUUUCGUCCAUUUGACAAAUUUGAUACGCAGUUAGAAAGCAUGGCUGCAGCCGGGUGCGUGAGUCCGCCAUCUCUGCUCGCUUUGUUGGGGAGACGCUGCAAAAAGAGACCGUAUUAUUUCGAAGAUCAGGAGGAGCAUCAAGAAACACUUAAACCGCGCAAGCUGUCAAAUAGUGAACAUCGGGUCAGUGCACCACCGAGUGUGCUGGUAAAGAAUUCUGGAAGUAUCCGAGAGAGUGCAUCUGCGGACUCUGGUUGCUCAACGGUGACCUCUAAGAAACGUGCACGAGAUAACGCUGUCACAAGAUACGAUGCUCAAAGGAUUGUCACACACAAAGAUGAUGAUGGCAAUGACCUAUGCACUUUCAACUCAUUCCAGUACUGGAGGGUCCCUCUACCCGAGCUGGACAUUUCACUCCUUCAGAAUGGAAACCUCUCUGGAUCAAAUGGAGAACCCCCUGCCAAAGAAUUAUCCUGUGAAGCCAUGGAGUCAUAA
RNAcentral lists this long non-coding RNA (1112 nucleotides) under Oncorhynchus kisutch (coho salmon). Its description in RNAcentral is "lncRNA (ENSOKIG00005001651.1)". Lineage: Eukaryota; Metazoa; Chordata; Actinopteri; Salmoniformes; Salmonidae. The record is from RNAcentral.